RNAcentral lists this ribosomal RNA (482 nucleotides) under uncultured bacterium. RNAcentral describes it as "partial 16S ribosomal RNA". It matches the Rfam family "Bacterial small subunit ribosomal RNA", at positions 30 to 507 of the family's 1533-position model. The record is from RNAcentral.
ACUGAACGCUGGCGGCAUGCUUUACACAUGCAUGUCGAACGGUAACAGGCCGCAAGGUGCUGACGAGUGGCGAACGGGUGAGUAAUGCAUCGGAACGUGCCCAGUCGUGGGGGAUAACUACUCGAAAGAGUAGCUAAUACUGCAUACGAUCUAUGGAUGAAAGCGGGGGACCGUAAGGCCUCGCGCGAUUGGAGCGGCCGAUGUCAGAUUAGGUAGUUGGUGGGGUAAAGGCUCACCAAGCCAACGAUCUGUAGCUGGUCUGAGAGGACGACCAGCCACACUGGGACUGAGACACGGCCCAGACUCCUACGGGAGGCAGCAGUGGGGAAUUUUGGACAAUGGGCGCAAGCCUGAUCCAGCAAUGCCGCGUGCAGGAAGAAGGCCUUCGGGUUGUAAACUGCUUUUGUACGGAACGAAACGGCUCUGGUUAAUACCCGGGGCUAAUGACGGUACCGUAAGAAUAAGCACCGGCUAACUACGUG